GUGACGUCCGUCGUCCAUCAGUCACAUGACCUUCGUGCACGUGGUGUAAAGCGCUACCGGAAGCGGCGGAGCCGUGCUGCUGCACCGCCUUCCCUAUGACUGCAGUUGCGCAGACGUUGUGCUUCUAGAGGCUGAGAUUGUGUGACGUCACCGGCCUGUGGCUUUCCUCCUUGUUUUUACCCAUGUUUGGUGACUGCUGAAUAAACUUUUUGGAUUAUUUUACCUCUGUGCCCAUCUUCGGUGUUUCUGGGGAACUGAGGCCGACUCAGAGGACUUCUGAAGUUCUGAACAACAGUACUAGGGCAUCAUUGCGCCACAUUCUCAGUCCAAACCCGGACAUUUGCAUGUCUGGUGGUCCUGACUCUGCUUCAAACCCGGACACACAAAACGGAAUGUCUGGGUCAUUCCCAGGUGGAAACCCUACAGAGUCCUGAGUUUAAGUCUGAGGGUUUUUGAGUUUGGGUCUUAUGGGCUGGACUGGGAAAUCAGACCGGGCCUGGAAUUUUUUUUAUGGGGCACGAAGAACAGGUUUGGUAACCUGUGGAUUAAGCUUCUUAUAAUUAAAGCAAACAGUUUAAAGUGACAUUGAAUGAAACUACAAACAGUGUCCUUUUACAAGACCAGCUUAUUUGUCUGCAUACAAAGGUUGAGUUAAAGCUGAUUUACAGGACGUACAGAACUCGUCCUUAAGGGCAGUUUGCUCACUGGCUGAUAAGGAAAACUCACACAGCGUUAUUGGUAGACAUAAACACACAAAUAAAACACUUUUAUUGUAAUACAUUUUAAAUAACUUUGUUUUCAAUGCAGAAAACAUAACUUAUUUAUGUAUCAGAACAGCAAACCAAAGCCUGUGCUCUAUAUUAGCUGUUCCUGUGCUGAUAUGUAACAGUUCUGUUCUCUUUGUAUUAUCAAUAAAGUUGUCAGUUUUGUAUCUAUGAUUGUGUUCUCUUUGUAUUAUCAAUAAAGUUGUCAGUUUUGUAUUUGUA
Long non-coding RNA from Bombina bombina (fire-bellied toad), 986 nucleotides. RefSeq lists it as uncharacterized. The transcript is spliced from 2 exons. Lineage: Eukaryota; Metazoa; Chordata; Amphibia; Anura; Bombinatoridae. The record is from RefSeq and is a predicted model, not a curated record.